This 205-nucleotide ribosomal RNA is filed under the name uncultured bacterium. RNAcentral's name for it is "partial 16S ribosomal RNA". It matches the Rfam family "Bacterial small subunit ribosomal RNA", at positions 1288 to 1500 of the family's 1533-position model. The record is from RNAcentral.
CUCAUUCGGAUUGGAGUCUGCAACUCGACUCCAUGAAGCUGGAUUCGCUAGUAAUCGCGCAUCAGCCAUGGCGCGGUGAAUACGUUCCCGGGCCUUGUACACACCGCCCGUCAAGCCAUGGGAGCCGGGGGUGCCUGAAGUACGUGACCGCGAGGAGCGUCCUAGGGCAAAACUGGUGACUGGGGCUAAGUCGUAACAAGGUACC